Zalophus californianus (California sea lion) is the source of this 2014-nucleotide long non-coding RNA. NCBI's taxonomy places the organism in Eukaryota, Metazoa, Chordata, Mammalia, Carnivora, Otariidae. The record is from Ensembl.
CCUGCCUGGAGGGCGGAGCAUCGUGCUGGGAGCAGAACAGCAGCUGCUGUGAGAAUGAGGAAAGAACAAUGAAUUCUCAUUGGCGGCCUUGGGAAAGCCUGCCGUUUGAGCUGUGCCUUGGAAGCAUGCUAGUGGAAGAGAAAGGAAGGAGGAUACCGGAAAAGGUGGGGAAGCAUGAAGAGAAGCACGGAGGAGGGAAAGAGAGUGCAGUGUUAGGGAAAUGCCAGGAGCCAGGCUUGGCUGCUAUGCAGAACAUUUGGUGAAAAGUUGAAGAAGUUGGAAAGAAAGGCCAGAAAGAGAACGUCUUACAUGCAAGAUUCUCCAUUAAAAAGGGCAAGUAGAACCUGCUCAAGGGGGAGGUGACCAAUUGGGAGCUCUCAUACUCUCAUAGAUGCAUCUCAUCACAGGAAGUGAUGGAGUGACCAGAGCUCCUACCCAGUUUGGCCAAUAGGUGAAGGCAGCAGUUCCUGAAAUGACAGAGAGUGUACAGGUUGUCGCUGUGAAUGGCAAACCCCAAGGCUGGGCUCUCAGGUGCCUCCAUCAUUCAGAGGGGAGUCGCUGAGAGUUAUUUCUUCGCCAUUCCAGGAAGCCAGCUCUCUGUCUUCCCAUCCCCUUGUCUGCAGCCAGAGGCAAGAUUGUGGAGGUGGAUUCAGGAGACGGGGAUGACAAAGAUGGGUUUUAACAGCUGCCAGCUAGGGCCACCAGCCGUUGUGCUCCAGCAAUGACCUGCGAGCAGAAUUCUGAAAGCUGGACCUCCAGGUGACUCCUGGUGGCUAGAGUGGCUCUUUUUCAUGUUACAUCUGCCAACACCUAGGCCACAAAUUUGCCACUGCUCACACUUCUUGGAUGAAGGUGGCUGAAGCUGACUUCAUAGGAACCACUCUGUCACCUCCCAGCUCUUCGGCCUUCUGGGAGUCCUUUUCCUAUUCAUGGAAUGGCGUUUGAGUAGAAUCUUCCCUUGAACACCCACCAGCCAUGACUGUGCAACCAAAAGCAGCUGCAGUUGGUCAACUUCUCUAUCGAUGCUCUACUCAACUCAAGUCCUGACAAGUUUGGAGAAAUCUCAGUUUUGCCCAGUUCUCUGCUCUCAAACAUGUAUAUUGACAAGGACUCUGUCGAGAAAGCAAGACUUAGCCUUUCUAUAAGGAUUGUAGGGGUCUUAAAACAUCAUUUAUUCCAUAUCCCUGAAUUUCCAUUAUCUCAUACUCACAGAGACAGAACAUCACUUUCUUGACAGUAUUUUAAGUUCUGGCAGCUGCUAAUAAGUUCUCCCUCAUGCCCUUUACAAAGUGCUUUCACAUCAAUUACUUCUUUUCUGUUGACCCUUUGUGAGUUGAGAAUCAGGCAUUUAGUUCAUUAAGUUCUCCCUUAUUAUAAAAUUUCAUACUAUAAAUUUCUCUCUAAUUACUGAUUUACCUGAACCUCAAAAAAAUUGUUUAGUCAUUCUGUUAUAUUUAUUUCCAUUAUGGUUUCUCAUUUAAUCCAUAAAUUCAUAAUAUGAUUUUUUUUCAUUUCCAUAUCAGUUUCUUUUUUAGUUAUUGCUUCUUGCACCCCACUCCUUUCCCUGGGUUCAAUUCCAGUACUCCUUUUAGAGGUUCUUUCAGAAAGGGUCUAUGAGUGAUAAGUUUUCUCAUCAUUUAUGUGAAAUUGUUUUCAUUUUUCCCUCCCUCUCCAAUGAAAAGUUAACUAUGUGUAGAAUUUGAAGCUGGCAGUAACUUUGUCUCUCAAGACUUAGAAGAUACUUAUUCCACCAUCUCCUGGCCGUUAUUGUUGACAUGAAGAAGUCUGUGGAUUCUCUCUCUCCUUCUGACCGUAUUUAGGAUUUUUUGUUUAAAAACUUUAUCUUUGGUGUUUUUCAUUUUCAGUAUAAAGUGGCUAUGGUAUAUAUUUUUAAAUUUAUAUUAUUAUUUUUAAUAUUGCUUGGGACUCAAUGGGAUUCUUAAAUCUGAAGAUGUCUUACAUAAGUUCCAGAAAAUUCUCAGUCAUUAUUUUUGAAUGUUACCUAUUUUUUUUU